This 779-nucleotide ribosomal RNA is filed under the name uncultured Neocallimastigales. Its description in RNAcentral is "partial large subunit ribosomal RNA". It matches the Rfam family "Eukaryotic large subunit ribosomal RNA", at positions 20 to 646 of the family's 3401-position model. The record is from RNAcentral. Lineage: Eukaryota; Fungi; Neocallimastigomycota; Neocallimastigomycetes; Neocallimastigales.
CAUCACUACGCUAGAUGCAUAUCAAUAAGCGGAGGAAAAGAAACUAACUAAGGAUUCCCUCAGUAACGGCGAGUGAAGCGGGAAGAGCUCAAAUUUGAAAUCUUCAAGGGUUCUACCUUUACGAAUUGUAGUUUAAAGAAGUGUUUUCUGUUGGAGUUUCGGUAAAAGUUCUUUGGAAUAGGACAUCAUAGAGGGUGAGAAUCCCGUAUUUGACCAUUAUUUCCAGCUGUGUGAUACAGCUUUCAAAGAGUCGGAUUGUUUGGGAAUGCAGUCCAAAAUGGGUGGUAAAUUUCAUCUAAAGCUAAAUACUGGCGAGAGACCGAUAGCGAACAAGUACCGUGAGGGAAAGAUGAAAAGAACUUUGAAAAGAGAGUUAAACAGUACGUGAAAUUGUCAAAAGGGAAGCGUUUGACACCAGUGUUGUUUUCUCGAAAAUCAAUUAAAAAUGGUGGGAUUUUGUGUUGUAUUGACUUUAUCAGCUUUCUGCACUUUUUUCCUGUCUUUUUUAAUGCACUUUUCGUUUAACAAGUCAACAUCAAUUUCUUUUGCUGUAAAAGAGUCAUUGGAAGGUGGCUUUCAUUUCGGUAGAAAGUGUUUAUAGCCUUUGACUUCUGCAAUCGGAGAGAUUGAGGUCUGCAGCGUAGAUCCUUCGGGGUUAGAUACAUUUGUGCUAAGCUAUAGCCUUUUCAUAGACAACAUUGUUGACUAUGAUCAUCAUGUAGCUUACUCGCUUAUGCUAUUUUACCUACGCUUAGGAUGUUGACGAGACUGUCGAUCUC